AUACGAAGGGGGCUAGCGUUGCUCGGAAUUACUGGGCGUAAAGGGCGCGUAGGCGGCUCUGUUAGUCAGGCGUGAAAUUCCUGGGCUUAACCUGGGGACUGCGCUUGAUACUGCGGAGCUUGAGGCCGAGAGAGGGUGGUGGAAUUCCCAGUGUAGAGGUGAAAUUCGUAGAUAUUGGGAAGAACACCGGUGGCGAAGGCGACCACCUGGCUCGGUACUGACGCUGAGGCGCGACAGCGUGGGGAGCAAACAGGAUUAGAUACCCUGGUAGUCCACGCCGUAAACGAUGUGUGCUGGAUGUUGGGGCUCCUAGAGUCUCAGUGUCGUAGCUAACGCGGUAAGCACACCGCCUGGGGAGUACGGCCGCAAGGUUGA
Molecule: ribosomal RNA, 375 nt
Filed under: uncultured bacterium
Lineage: Bacteria
Description: bacterial SSU rRNA
Rfam family: Bacterial small subunit ribosomal RNA
Source: RNAcentral